UACGUAGGGUGCAAGCGUUGUCCGGAUUUAUUGGGCGUAAAGCGUCCGUAGGCGGUUUCGUAAGUCUGACGUUAAAGGCGCGGGCUCAACCCGUGUAGUGCGUUGGAAACUGUGAGACUAGAGUGCAUCAGAGGAAGUGGGAAUUUCCAGUGUAGCGGUGAAAUGCGUAGAUAUUGGAAGGAACACCAGUGGCGAAAGCGCGCUUCUGGGGUGUAACUGACGCUAAUGGACGAAAGCCAGGGUAGCGAAAGGG
This 253-nucleotide ribosomal RNA is filed under the name uncultured bacterium. RNAcentral's name for it is "partial 16S ribosomal RNA". It matches the Rfam family "Bacterial small subunit ribosomal RNA", at positions 524 to 776 of the family's 1533-position model. The record is from RNAcentral.